Molecule: ribosomal RNA, 117 nt
Filed under: uncultured bacterium
Lineage: Bacteria
Description: partial 16S ribosomal RNA
Rfam family: Bacterial small subunit ribosomal RNA
Source: RNAcentral
GGGCCUUGUACACACCGCCCGUCAAGCCAUGGGAGCCGGGGGGCGCCUGAAGUCCGGGACCGCGAGGACCGGCCUAAGGCGAAACUGGUGACUGGGGCUAAGUCGUAACAAGGUACC